RNAcentral lists this ribosomal RNA (486 nucleotides) under uncultured bacterium. Its description in RNAcentral is "partial 16S ribosomal RNA". It matches the Rfam family "Bacterial small subunit ribosomal RNA", at positions 30 to 507 of the family's 1533-position model. The record is from RNAcentral.
AUUGAACGCUGGCGGCAUGCCUUACACAUGCAAGUCGAACGGCAGCACGGGUGCUUGCACCUGGUGGCGAGUGGCGAAGGGGUGAGUAGUACAUCGGAACAUGUCCUGUCGUGGGGGGUAGCCCGGCGAAAGCCGGAUUAAUACCGCAUACGAUCUACGCAUGAAAGCGUGGGACCUCCGGGCCUCGCGCUAUAGGGUUGGCCGAUGGCUGAUUAGCUAGGUGGUGGGGUAAAGGCCUACCAAGGCGACGAUCAGUAGCUGGUCUGAGAGGACGACCAGCCACACUGGGACUGAGACACGGCCCAGACUCCUACGGGAGGCAGCAGUGGGGAAUUUUGGACAAUGGGCGAAAGCCUGAUCCAGCAAUGCCGCGUGUGUGAAGAAGGCCUUCGGGUUGUAAAGCACUUUUGUCCGGAAAGAAAUCCUUGGCCCUAAUACGGUCGGGGGAUGACGGUACCGGAAGAAUAAGCACCGGCUAACUACGUG